Molecule: small RNA, 28 nt
Filed under: Bombyx mori (domestic silkworm)
Lineage: Eukaryota; Metazoa; Arthropoda; Insecta; Lepidoptera; Bombycidae
Description: piRNA piR-bmo-1868074
Source: RNAcentral
AAGUUGGCAUCGGUGGUACUGCCCGGGA